This 313-nucleotide unclassified non-coding RNA is filed under the name Pseudoxanthomonas sp. YR558. RNAcentral's name for it is "Long range pseudoknot". Lineage: Bacteria; Pseudomonadati; Pseudomonadota; Gammaproteobacteria; Lysobacterales; Lysobacteraceae. The record is from RNAcentral.
ACCGACGAGGGCGACUAUCAGAUCAAGAUGCGCAACAUCCGCCGCUUCCUGGAAGAGGGCGACAAGGUCAAGGUCAACAUCCGCUUCCGUGGCCGUGAAAUGAGCCACCAGGAGCUGGGUCGCGAGAUGGCUGCGCGCAUCGAGGCGGAGCUGGGCGAUGAAAUCGUCAUCGAGUCCCGUCCGCGCCUCGAAGGCCGCCAGAUGGUCAUGAUGAUCGCGCCGAAGAAGAAGUAAGACGAAGCAAAAGGCCGCCUAGUGCGGCCUUUUUGCUGUAUCAGGGGGGGAGUCCAUGUUUUGCAGGCGCUUUGUCGCA